This 235-nucleotide ribosomal RNA is filed under the name uncultured bacterium. RNAcentral describes it as "partial 16S ribosomal RNA". It matches the Rfam family "Bacterial small subunit ribosomal RNA", at positions 96 to 334 of the family's 1533-position model. RNAcentral also lists the same sequence under 1 other name. The record is from RNAcentral.
UGGCGGACGGGUGAGUAAUGUCUGGGAAACUGCCUGAUGGAGGGGGAUAACUACUGGAAACGGUAGCUAAUACCGCAUAACGUCGCAAGACCAAAGAGGGGGACCUUCGGGCCUCUUGCCAUCGGAUGUGCCCAGACGGGAUUAGCUAGUAGGUGGGGUAACGGCUCACCUAGGCGACGAUCCCUAGCUGGUCUGAGAGGAUGACCAGCCACACUGGAACUGAGACACGGUCCAG